GGCGGACGGGUGAGUAACGCGAUAGGAAUCUACCUAGUAGAAGGGGAUAGCCCGGGGAAACUCGGAUUAAUACCGUAUACCUCCUUCGGGAGAAAGAAGGCCUCUCAUUGAAGCUUUCGCUACUAGAUGUGCCUGCGUAGGAUUAGCUUGUUGGUGAGGUAAAGGCUCACCAAGGCGACGAUCUUUAGCGGGUCUGAGAGGACGAUCCGCCACAUUGGGACUGAGACACGGCCCAGACUCCUACGGGAGGCAGCAGUGGGGAAUAUUGGACAAUGGGCGCAAGCCUGAUCCAGCCAUACCGCGUGUGUGAAGAAGGCCCUAGGGUUGUAAAGCACUUUAAGUUGGGAAGAAAAGUUAUUGGUAAAUACCCAAUAGCCGUGACAUUACCAUCAGAAUAAGGACCGGCUAAUUCCGUGCCAGCAGCCGCGGUAAUACGGAAGGUCCAAGCGUUAAUCGGAAUUACUGGGCGUAAAGCGCGU
RNAcentral lists this ribosomal RNA (479 nucleotides) under uncultured Gammaproteobacteria bacterium. Its description in RNAcentral is "bacterial SSU rRNA". It matches the Rfam family "Bacterial small subunit ribosomal RNA", at positions 97 to 570 of the family's 1533-position model. Lineage: Bacteria; Pseudomonadati; Pseudomonadota; Gammaproteobacteria. The record is from RNAcentral.